GACGAACGCUGGCGGCGUGCCUAAUACAUGCAAGUUGAGCGCUGAAGGCUGGUACUUGUACCAACUGGAUGAGCAGCGAACGGGUGAGUAACGCGUGGGGAAUCUGCCUUUGAGCGGGGGACAACAUUUGGAAACGAAUGCUAAUACCGCAUAAAAACUUUAAACACAAGUUUUAAGUUUGAAAGAUGCAAUUGCAUCACUCAAAGAUGAUCCCGCGUUGUAUUAGCUAGUUGGUGAGGUAAAGGCUCACCAAGGCGAUGAUACAUAGCCGACCUGAGAGGGUGAUCGGCCACAUUGGGACUGAGACACGGCCCAAACUCCUACGGGAGGCAGCAGUAGGGAAUCUUCGGCAAUGGACGAAAGUCUGACCGAGCAACGCCGCGUGAGUGAAGAAGGUUUUCGGAUCGUAAAACUCUGUUGGUAGAGAAGAACGUUGGUGAGAGUGGAAAGCUCAUCAAGUGACGGUAACUACACAGAAAGGGACGGCUAACUACGUG
This 497-nucleotide ribosomal RNA is filed under the name uncultured bacterium. Its description in RNAcentral is "partial 16S ribosomal RNA". It matches the Rfam family "Bacterial small subunit ribosomal RNA", at positions 28 to 507 of the family's 1533-position model. The record is from RNAcentral.